GACGAACGCUGGCGGCGUGCUUAACACAUGCAAGUCGAGCGGUAAGGCUCCUUCGGGAGUCCACGAGCGGCGAACGGGUGAGUAACACGUGAGUAAUCUGCCCUUCACUUCGGGAUAACCACCGGAAACGGUGGCUAAUACCGAAUACGACCAGUCUUCGCAUGAGGUGCUGGUGGAAAGUCUUUUCGGUGAAGGAUGUGCUCGCGGCCUAUCAGCUUGUUGGUGGGGUAAUGGCCUACCAAGGCUUCGACGGGUAGCCGGCCUGAGAGGGUGACCGGCCACACUGGGACUGAGACACGGCCCAGACUCCUACGGGAGGCAGCAGUGGGGAGUAUUGGACAAUGGGCGAAAGCCUGAUCCAGCAACGCCGCGUGAGGGAUGACGGCCUUCGGGUUGUAAACCUCUUUCAGUACCGACGAAGCGCCCUGUCGGGUGGUGACGGUAGGUACAGAAGAAGGACCGGCCAACUACGUG
Molecule: ribosomal RNA, 474 nt
Filed under: uncultured bacterium
Lineage: Bacteria
Description: partial 16S ribosomal RNA
Rfam family: Bacterial small subunit ribosomal RNA
Source: RNAcentral